Long non-coding RNA from Trifolium pratense (red clover), 455 nucleotides. RefSeq lists it as uncharacterized. The transcript has 3 exons. The record is from RefSeq and is a predicted model, not a curated record. NCBI's taxonomy places the organism in Eukaryota, Viridiplantae, Streptophyta, Magnoliopsida, Fabales, Fabaceae.
UUUAAUACAUGUAAAAGUGAAUAAUAUGGCUGAAACUCUCAAGUUUACUUAUAAGUACAUCCACCUUUUUAUUUCUCUAUUUCUAUUUCUUGUUGUAGUCAAUGUUUAUGGAAAGAAAAAAGCUCACAAUUUUCAACGUAUACCGUGCCCUGAUCAUAAUAAAACUCUUUACUGCACUCUAAAAAAUUGUUACUGCGCUUAACAAUUAUAUUCAAAAUGGUUGUGGCAAGGCAACUUCGCUUGGGAAAGAGGAGUGUAGGGCUUAUGCCUAGUUAUAUAUAUAUUUUUCAGUUUUUUAGUAUUGUUAUUAGUUUUAAUUUGUAGUAUUACUAAGAAUUUAUUAUUGUUAUUUGUUUUACUUGAGUUUAGAAACUUGUUGUACCAUUAUUGUUAUUAUUUGUUUUUAAUAAACAAAAUUACGUUUUUAUGAUGUUAAAAUUAGUAAUAAACUUGUU